UGGGGAAUAUUGGACAAUGGGCGAAAGCCUGAUCCAGCCAUGCCGCGUGUGUGAAGAAGGUCUUCGGAUUGUAAAGCACUUUAAAGUUGGGAGGAAGGGCAGUAAGUUAAUACCUUGCUGUUUUGACGUUACCGACAGAAUAAGCACCGGCUAACUUCGUGCCAGCAGCCGCGGUAAUACGAAGGGUGCAAGCGUUAAUCGGAAUUACUGGGCGUAAAGCGCGCGUAGGUGGUUUGAUAAGUUGGAUGUGAAAGCCCCGGGCUCAACCUGGGAAUUGCAUCCAAAACUGUCUGACUAGAGUAUGGCAGAGGGUGGUGGAAUUUCCUGUGUAGCGGUGAAAUGCGUAGAUAUAGGAAGGAACACCAGUGGCGAAGGCGACCGCCUGGGCUAAUACUGACACUGAGGUGCGAAAGCGUGGGGAGGCAAACAAGGAUUAGAUACCCUGGUAGUCCACGCCGUAAACGAUGUCGACUAGCCGUUGGGGAUCCUUGAGAUCUUAGUGGCGCAGCUAACGCAUUAAGUCGACCGCCUGGGGAGUACGGCCGCAAGGUUAAAACUUAAAUGAAUUGAC
RNAcentral lists this ribosomal RNA (571 nucleotides) under uncultured bacterium. RNAcentral's name for it is "partial 16S ribosomal RNA". It matches the Rfam family "Bacterial small subunit ribosomal RNA", at positions 355 to 914 of the family's 1533-position model. The record is from RNAcentral.